RNAcentral lists this transfer RNA (73 nucleotides) under Ictidomys tridecemlineatus (thirteen-lined ground squirrel). RNAcentral describes it as "Spermophilus tridecemlineatus (thirteen-lined ground squirrel) tRNA". It matches the Rfam family "tRNA". Rfam says of the family: Transfer RNA (tRNA) molecules are approximately 80 nucleotides in length. Lineage: Eukaryota; Metazoa; Chordata; Mammalia; Rodentia; Sciuridae. The record is from Rfam by way of RNAcentral.
GGGGAUAUAGCUCAGUUGCUAGAAUGCUUGCCUGGCAUGCACAAGGUCCUGGGUUCAAUUCCCAGCACCACCA